Molecule: long non-coding RNA, 30858 nt
Filed under: Trifolium pratense (red clover)
Lineage: Eukaryota; Viridiplantae; Streptophyta; Magnoliopsida; Fabales; Fabaceae
Description: long non-coding RNA (TPRA_LNC011112)
Source: RNAcentral
CCAGUAAAAUUCUCCUCUUUUUUCUUCUAAAUUAGGAUCUCACUGCACAGAAUACAGAUUUUUGGAUCUUGAACUGUUUUUUUCUCUUCUUUUUCACUCCAUUAUUCUAUAUAAAAAUAAAAUAAAAAGUUCAUGUUUUUAAAUGAUUCAGUUGCAAUUUUCUUACUGUCUCAUCAACCCUUUUUUCAAAUUCUCUGUUUGAACCUUCCUCUGUAAAACACAGAACAGAAAAAGAAGGAAAAAAAAAAUUGGUGGGUAUGAACAAUUUCCAUGAAAUUUCAAAUUUUGAUAAACAUGGCAGCAACCCUUUCAUGGAGUCAAUGUUUUGGAGACAAAGCAGUUAAUUGUUGUCAAAAUUGAAGAAAAAAUAUUUUUUUUGUUUUGAAACCUGACUGAAUUAUGAGUCUGUCAGCAAAAUUGAAGACUCGAGAGAAGCAUUGAGCAAACUGAGAUUUUUUGUUACUGAAUUUUGUGGACACGUGGCAAGCAAUUUUCUUCUUGUUCCAGCGGUUACUGUGAUCAUAUAUGACUUUUCAGGUAGAAAUAAGCUCAUAAAUUGCAACUUCACUAAUCUUUUAAUUCAUGGAAGAUAAAAAUUAAUGUUUUUUUUUUUUUGUCAUCGUCAAUUUUAUUACUUAAUUUGGUAAACUAAUACAGUUGCAGAAAUUUUGCAGUGAAAGUUUUUUGAAGAUGAAUACAUUUAUGGAUUCAAGGGAAAAUAAUAAUAAUAAGUCAUCAGAAGAAGUUGAAAGGUGUUUAGAUCCUCAGCUAUGGCAUGCUUGUGCAGGUGGAAUGGUUCAGAUGCCAACAGUGAACAGUAAAGUUUAUUACUUUCCUCAAGGUCAUGCUGAACAUGCAUGUGGACCUGUUAACUUCAUCAAUUGUCCAAAAGUUUCACCUUUGAUUCCAUGCAAAGUUGUUUCUAUCAAGUACAUGGCUGAUCCUGAAACUGAUGAGGUUUAUGCAAAGCUUAAGCUUUUUCCUUUGAGUGGAAAUGGAAAUGGAAAUGAUGUUCAAGAUUAUUAUUGCAAUGAUGUUGUUGAAAAUCAAGAUAAGCCUGUUUCAUUUGCAAAGACAUUGACUCAAUCUGAUGCUAAUAAUGGUGGAGGUUUUUCUGUUCCUAGGUAUUGUGCCGAGACGAUUUUCCCUCGUUUGGAUUACGCCGCUGAUCCUCCUCUUCAGAACAUUUUGGCUAAAGAUGUUCACGGCGAGACGUGGAAGUUUAGGCAUAUUUAUAGAGGGACGCCGAGGCGACAUCUUUUGACUACUGGUUGGAGUACUUUUGUUAAUCACAAGAAGCUUAUUGCCGGGGAUUCAAUUGUGUUUUUGAGGGCAGAAAACGGUGAUCUUUGUGUUGGGAUUCGUCGAGCGAAAAAGGGUAUCGGUGGUGGACAUGAGGAUCCUUCAGGGUGGAAUCCUGUUGGAGAAAAUUUUCCUCUUCCUUGGUUUACACAGAAUGAGAAUCAAAUGAUGAGAAACAUUAACGACAAUAACAGAAACGGUUUGAACUCAAGCCCAAAUGUAACGGGGAGGGCAAAAGUUAGGCCAGAUGCGGUCCUGGAAGCGGUAACUCUAGCUGCGAAUAAGCAACCAUUUGAGGUUGUUUACUACCCUCGCGCAAGUACACCCGAGUUUUGUGUGAAGGCGCCUUUAGUAGAGGCGGCAAUGCAGAUGCGAUGGUGUUCUGGAAUAAGAUUCAAGAUGGCCUUUGAAACCGAGGACUCGUCUCGAAUUAGUUGGUUUAUGGGAAUUGUAUCUGGAGUUCAGUUUGUUGAUCCCCUUCUUUGGCCCAACUCACCUUGGAGGCUUCUCCAGGUAACAUUAUUAUCAAACUUUAUGUAAAUUAACAUCAUAACAAAAAAUUUCAUACUACUAAAAUAUGGUGAUUUCAUUCUUUCUAAUGUUUGAUUUAUUUUAGACCGAAAUAGCUUAUAUCACCAAUAAUGUGCUUAGUUAUUAAGCAAAUUUGUAUCUUUUACACAAGGCACAGUUUCUUAUUGCUAAUUGAAUUUAUUUUUGGACAAUUUCAUUACUAUUUAAUGAACUCUGAUGUUUUUUUUUUGCAUCCACUAAUUUAUUUUGAAUAUGAUACCAUUUAAUAAGACUAAUUGCAAUUUGAUUUCUCAUACUAAUUUUCUCAAGUUAUAAUUGUAGGUUAAAUGGGAUGAACCAGAUUUACUGCAAAAUGUGAGAAGGGUAAGUCCAUGGUUAGUUGAAUUGGUUGCAAACAUUCCUUCCAUAAACCUUUCCCCUUUCUCGCAACCAAGGAAGAAAUUGAGAUUGUCGCCGCACCAAGAUUUCCCCUUUGACAGCCAAAUUCCGGUGCCGACGUUUCCAAAUAACCUUCUAGGUCCGAGUAACGUAUUUCGUUGUCUACCCGAAAAUACUCCUGCUGGCAUGCAGGGAGCCAGGCAUGCUCAUUAUGGUCUUCCAAUAUCGGAUCACCACCUCAGUAAAGUUCAGUCAGGUCUAUUUUCGGCCGGUUUCGUGCCUUUUGAUCAUGCUACUAAACUACCUACUGUCUCUAAUAACCUAAUGAUGCAAAAAUCUAGCAUGAGUGAGAAUGUGUCUUGCUUAUUAUCUAUGGCAAGUUCUACUCAGUCUUCGCAGAAAUUCGAUGACAAAAAACCUCAGCUUGUUCUUUUCGGCCAAAAAAUUCUCACUGAGCAACAGAUCUCUGGUGUUCGUUCAUCAGAUGGAAAUGCCGAUAAAAUGAGUAACUUCUCCGAUGGUUCGCGAACUCCUCUUCAUCAACAAGGCUUACAGAAACACCCCUCUUGUGACAGUUUCCCAAGGUAUAAGGAUAACAACCAAGAAACUGAGACGAGUUUGGAGAGUACUACUGAUCACUGCAAAGUUUUUCUCGAAUCGGAAGAUGUUGGUCGGACAAUUGACCUCUCUUUACUUGAGUCUUAUGAUGAACUGUACAGAAAGCUGGCAGAGAUGUUUGGCAUAGAUAAAUAUGAGAAGGUAAGUCGCGUGCUCUACCGGGAUAUAUCAGGAGCAGUCAAAAACAUUGGAGAUGAACCAUUCAGGUAAGAAUCACAAUCAAACCCUCUUGAAUUGCAAAAUAAAAUAUAUUUCAUCAUAUCUUUAGGCCCUCUUUGGAUAAACGUUAAAUAAGAGCUUAUAGUAUAAAUACUUAUCAUAUAAAUGCUCGUUUCUAUUAAUAAUAAGUAAAAUAAAGUCAAACUAUUUUCAUAAGAUAUCAUGAAGAACUUGUAGAAAUAAGCUGAAAACAACUUAUAGACAUGUCAUAAGCUCUCACAUAUAGUCUCAAAAUAUUUAUACUGGUAAAUAAGCUCAAGUAAGUUAAUCCAAACAGACUCGUAGAGCUUGAGAUGUUUCCUUAUUAUAUCUUUGAUGUUGUUGCAGUAAAUUUACAAGAACAGCAAGGAGGUUGACUAUUCUAAUGGAUUCAAGAAAAUAAAUUAUUCUUUCAAUUUGUACAGCUGGUUCAUGAAAUCCUUCAUUGAGCAAUCGAAGGAUGCAAAGUGAUCUAAUUUUUUAAUGUUUGGAUUUUGAAAUUUUCAAUGUAGUGAUCAAAAUUUAUUUUAAUUACCUUGCUUAAUUUAUCUUUUCAAUUAAAUUUUUGUGGGUAGAAGAGAUUAAUACGAUUUAUUUAUUUAAAAAAAAAAAAAAGUAUUCAACUUGAAUACAUAAUUGAACCAUUCACCUUUAUAGAGAUUGUAAUUUUGUCUCAUUUAUCUUCUUGUUGCUACCUUAUACAUAGUAAUUUACCAGCUAUUACUUUAAUCAUUCUUGAAUCAUAUGAAAAUCUAAGGCCUAAAAUGUAUGUAACAUCAUUACCUAUAAAAUAAGGUCAUGUCAACAAAAUAAUGAAUGUUCUAUUUUGGUUGGUAAGAAAUUGGUGCAUGAUUGUAUAUUUCUUAUAUAUAUCAUGAGAAUAACAACAAGCAAGAAAUUAGAAAAAUGUGAACAAGUUUCCAUUCAAGAGACACAUCAUGUUAAUUUUUUGGAAGGAUGCACCCAUAAUCUUCCCAAUUGAUAUUUUCGCGUGAGAGGGGAGGAAAAAAACAAUUAAUACUAAUUAAAAAAAGGGUUUGAAAGUUUAAUCACAACUAAAAGGGAUCCGGAUUGACUGUUGUAGCAGGUGCAGGCAGUAGUCAAUCUAGAUCAUUGAUUUAUGAUCAAGUUGUUAAGUUUUUUUUUUGAAGAAUUUGUUGUUCAGAUUUAUGCAACAUAAAUUUAAUAAUUUAUUAUAAUAUUUGAUCUUAGCCCUUUAAAAUUUGAUCGGACGGCCAAAACCAGUUACUGCGUGCAUGCGGUAGCUGCAUUAAAUCCAACUCCCAACUAAAAGUAUUUAGAUGAAAUAGUUUGUGUCUCUUUUCAGCUUAAUAAGAUGUUUUGAGUUUCGAAUAUUCAAUCCUAAGAAUGUAUAAAUUUCAUGAGAAAGAGCUUUAUCAUUUUUUUAGUAUAUAUCAUACUUAAAUUCAAUGAAUUAAUCUCUAUAAUUACGUGCGGAUAUAUACUAUUCACAAGAACAAAAAAGUCUAAUAAAAGGGGAGAAACAUGUGUGAAGUUGACAUCAUGCAUAGUCAAGUAUCAUAUGUUUCACACGGCAACAUACAUACAUAUUUAAACACAUCACGAGCCAUGACUUGAAGCUAAUAAUAAUGUGCCACAUGGAAGACAUUGGCAUGAAACAACAACAAAAACAACACAACGAGGAACAAGUCAUGAAACAUGGUUCAUCAAGCAUGGAAUUCUCCAUACCUAAAAUUCAAAACAGGAAAAUUCAACCAAACAUAAGUCUCAUGCUGAUGGCGUAAAGUAUGGGGAAGUUUAAUUUAAUAUAGUUAUACUAGUUAAUGUGUGUGACAAAAUUAUAGUAUUAGGGGUUAUCGGGAUUGCAAAACUAGAGUAGUUGUCAAACACAAAGUCAAAUAAUGUUAGAUUCGGAGCGUGACACCCAUAAAAUAUUACUACUAUUAACAUUAGGAGAAUGUUAACAUGUGCAUAUAUGGCACAUGUUAAGGUAGUAAAAAUAGAAAUUAUGUCUUAGAAUUUGUGCAUUUUAACUUUUUAAGCAUUAAAUGUCUUGUAUCAUUAAAUGUUAAAUUUCUAUAUUAAGAUAUCUUAUCAUGUGCCCUAUAUGCACAUGUUAACAAGACCCUUAACAUUAAACAAACUACUUUAUAGUAAGAAGAAAGGAAGAGCUGGAAAGCAGAGGACACAUUCUUAAUUGACUACAACAACAACAACACGAUUGAUUAUAAUAAUUAGUAGAUGGUUAAAUUAAAUUUAACCAGCAAAAUGUGAUACAAGUAAUAGAUUUUUGGAAUCAUUUAAUAGUUGAGAGAGGUCAACUUUUAAACAUAUUUUAGAUUUCAGGUAAUUACAUCAUGAAAUUAGUCUGCAAUUACACAAGAAGGAUACACUAAUUUACAAAAAAUAAAAUGAUAUUUAUAGUUGUUUUUUUAUAGAAAAAACUGAAAUUUAUAGUUAACAAAUAAAUAUUCGAAUAUAACAAGCUGUCAUAUAUAAUCACGAUUAAUCAUAGUUUUGAACAAUCACAAUUUGUAUGUCUAUAAGUUUGAACAUAUAUAAUAAUUUGUAGUAUUUUUUUGUUUGUAGAUGAAGUGACAACCAACACUUUUAUUUAGUGUUUAGUUAAUAAAUUGUGACACAUUAAUUAUUACAUUUAUAAUUUAUAUGUGUUUCGAACAAAUAUUGUAAUUGUAUUAUAAUAGUAAUAUAUUUUUCUGCUCUUUUUUAUAAGAAACGAUUGACUUUUUAAGUUUAUUAAUGUAUCUGGUCUAUAUUAUAGAUCAAAUAUAUUAAUUAUUUAAUUAAUUGAAAAAGUUAACAAUUUCUUGUAAAAAGUAUCGGAGGAAGUAGUAAAUAAACUUACUUGACUAAAAAAAAAUAUUUCAUCUAAUCUUUAAUAUAAAAGAAAGUUUAUUUAUUGCUCCCUCAAGUCCUUAAUACAAGAGAGGCUUUACUUUUUAGAUUUAUUGAGAAUCUAAUGUAUCUAGUCCAUAUUAUAGGCUAGAUACAUUAGAUUCUCAAUGAAUUUAAAAAAUAAAAUUUUUCUUAUAUUAAGGAUCGGAAAAAAUAUUGAAUAACUAAUAUAUAUAUAUAUAUAAUAUAAAUUAAAUACAUUAAUUAUUGAAUGUAUUUAAAUAGUAAAUUUUCUUUUACAUUUUUUUUGACGGUCAUGCAUGGAUGUUAAAUAAACUAGCCACACGUGAGAACGUGGGGUCAUGCAUGGAUGUUAAAGUAAAGGCAAAUGGAAAAUAAAAGAAACAGACAAAAAUAAAAUAAAAGGAGAGAAAAAUGACAGUAGUAAUCUCACGUGUGGGUGACGCCAUCAACGGUGAGUUUACGCAAGUGUUACGGCGUGUUGGCGACCGGGCUGUUUUCUUGUUGCCACCGUUAAUUUCAUCGGUAGUUUGAACUUUGAAUACUAUUAUUUUGUGCAAACUUGCAAUGACAGUACUAUGUUCCUCUUUAAUACUACUAACUUAAAUGUUAAAGCACGGAUAGAGAGAUAUCCGAUAUAUAUUACUCCCUUCGUCUCAAUUUGAUUGACACAGUUGACUGUUGUGCACUAUUCCCACAUGCAUAUUGUUUUAACCUUAUUUUUCUACUAAUAAACAAAAAUAAAUAUUAGCAUAUAAGAUGUUUGAUUCGUCUCAAUGAGUAUUGUCAAAGUAUCAAAUAUUUACAAUUAAAAAUAUUAAUCGUCAAAGUUAUGCACCGGCAUGCGUGAAACAGUCAACUGUGUCAAUCAAAUUAGGACGGAGGGAGUACAUAUUUUGACUAAAUGCAUUAUCUAUAUGUUUUGUUUUGACCAUAUUUUUCUAAGAGUAUAAAAAUUCGUAAUCAAAUUAUGUAUGGACAUACAUGUCAUCGUCAAUGAAUUCUUAUAUUUUGGAAUGGAGGGGAGUAUACUAGUAAAUGAGAGAGCCUUUGAGAAGUAUUAAUGGUGGUGACGGUAAAAUUAAUUAUAUGAUAUAUAUGUGAGUGGAUCUUCUAGCACUAAUAUAUUUGCAUGGAAAUGAAGUUUGGCCAACUUGAUAGAGAGUUGACUUAUAUUUAUUAAAAAUAUCAAUUCAAAUUUUGCUACUAACUAUUGAUGAAUAAUCUAGCACUAAAUAUAUUUGCAUGGGAAUGAAGUUUGGCCAAAUUGAUAAAGAGUUGACUUAUAUCUUUUAAAAAUGUCAGAUUCAAUUUUUGCUAUUAACUUGAAUGUUAUUGAUGAAUAAUCUAUCGUCUUGACCCUAAACUCCAAAACUCAAUUUAUCUCCAUUUUAGUUCAUAAAAUCCGCUUGAUUCUUUUAUAUAUGACUAUCAACUUUGGUUCAUGCAUUAUGCUUUCAGGCGAUCAAAGCCUCUCUCUUUUUUUUACAUUGUUAUGAGAUAUAUGAAAGGAAUAGGAAUGAAUUGAUAUUUCAAAAUACCAAAAAAGGAUACCCAAAAAAAUAGCAUUGUUUCUAUCAUUCUUCCAUAGUUAACGCUUUUGGUCAUCAAUAUGUGAAUCAUCAUGUACUUAGACAAGUGAGAUAUUGGCAUCCCCUCCUGAUGAUUAUAGUAAGGUUAAUUAAUAUGGAUGACUCUUUAGGUAACCCAAGGAAUGCAUGUUAUAGAGAUCUUAUGAGAGAUGAGAAUGGAUUUUGGUUAGGAACCACGCGUUAACGUUCAUAACAGGAUAUGCUUCCAGUGUGAUUGAUUAAAUUAGAUUGUAUCGAGGUGUGACUUGGGCUUCAAGUAUCGAAAGAUACCUGCAAAAAUAUUAGCACUCCAACGCUGAAGUCACUAUUUGUUUAAGCUUAAAGAAAGUGCUAAAUUGGGUAAGAAUGUUCUACCUUGAGGAUGAAUAUGCAUGUCUGCAUACAUAGUGGAAUACGUGCAUAAUUGUUUUGUCUUUGAUCCUCCAUGUGAAUGGAAUGCGUCACAAAUAUCUUGAGAAUGAGUCCCUUGUCCUAUGCUUGGUAACAUUUGGAUAAAUGGGUUGGCUGGUCCAAAACAGGUUAUAUGAUUUUUCGUAUUAUUUGCUAGUAGAACACUACAAGAAAAUACGGGAUUUGCUACGACGUCCUUUGUAGCUAAUCCGUAGCUAAUCUCNNNNNNNNNNNNNNNNNNNNNNNNNNNNNNNNNNNNNNNNNNNNNNNNNNNNNNNNNNNNNNNNNNNNNNNNNNNNNNNNNNNNNNNNNNNNNNNNNNNNNNNNNNNNNNNNNNNNNNNNNNNNNNNNNNNNNNNNNNNNNNNNNNNNNNNNNNNNNNNNNNNNNNNNNNNNNNNNNNNNNNNNNNNNNNNNNNNNNNNNNNNNNNNNNNNNNNNNNNNNNNNNNNNNNNNNNNNNNNNNNNNNNNNNNNNNNNNNNNNNNNNNNNNNNNNNNNNNNNNNNNNNNNNNNNNNNNNNNNNNNNNNNNNNNNNNNNNNNNNNNNNNNNNNNNNNNNNNNNNNNNNNNNNNNNNNNNNNNNNNNNNNNNNNNNNNNNNNNNNNNNNNNNNNNNNNNNNNNNNNNNNNNNNNNNNNNNNNNNNNNNNNNNNNNNNNNNNNNNNNNNNNNNNNNNNNNNNNNNNNNNNNNNNNNNNNNNNNNNNNNNNNNNNNNNNNNNNNNNNNNNNNNNNNNNNNNNUACAACGAAGAGAAUCGAGUCCAUGUCGGAGCGAGACCGUGAACAGAGCGAGAUCGGAGCAAGAUUGCAGCGAGAAUGAGAUCGGAGCGAGGUCGUAGUGUGAAGGAGAUCGGAGCGAGAUCGGGAGCGGUUUCACCAUAGAGAGUAAAACCGGUGUCGUGUUCUGAGAUAACAAUGAGAUAAAGCCUUAAAACAUAAAUAAAUAAAUAAGAAUAGUAAUAAUUUGUUAAAAAAAAGUAAUAUAAAAUUAAUUUAAGUCGAAUGGUGGCUAAUAUACUUGAAAUUAACUAGUAAAACGUUUCGUAGCAAACUUUUGAUAGCAAAUCACGUAUUUUCUUGUAGUGGAACUCUCAGAUAUUUAGAUAGUCCUUCAUUUGGUUUAGGAUCUUGGUUAGGUUGUAAUUAUGGAAUCCGACUCCAAGAUUUUUUUCGACUUGAUAAUUAAAUAACUUUUACUAAAAGUUAUUUUAAAUAGCUUUUUUUUUAGAGAUUUUUUUGAAAUUUUAUAAUUAAUAAAAAUUUAUAACAAAAUGAUGAAAUGAACAACAUUUUUAAGAGAUCAUUAAACAAUUUUUCAUUUUAAGCUUCUAUAAAAAAAUUAUUUGUUAAAUUUUUUUAACGAAAAUAUAAUACACUAUAAAAAUUAUUUUUGCCAAAACAAACGAGCACAUAAUAUAUUGAACAAUCCAUGCAUUUUUAGAUUUUAUAUUGUUGCAUGCUACGACAUCUAAUUUACGUACAGGUAAAGAAUUGAGGAAUUAAUUCUAGGAUUAUACUCUUAAAGAAUUUUUUUUUUUUAAGCGAUACUCUAAGGGUCCGUUUGUUGCAUGAUAACUAUUAUAUUUUAUUUUUAAUACAUACUUGCUCAUAAUAAUAUGAUAAGAUAUAUAACAUAUUUAAUUGACAAAAUUACUCUUGUAAAACAAUUGUUAUUUUUUUAAAAUUAUUUUGUAAUACUUUGAAUUUUAUAAAUAAAAAAUAUAAAUAAAGUAAUCAAAUAACUUUAUAUAAUUUAAAAUAAAAAUCAUGAGAAAAUAAUCAAGUUUAAUUUUUUAUAUGAAUCAUGAUGAAAUAAAUAACACAAUAAUAUAUACAUGUUAGAUAAGCCAAAUAAAUAUAUGAUAUAUCUCAUAUGUAAAUAAUAAAACUAUUGUUGCAAAAGAAUUAUAUUUAAUUUUUUAUAAAAUUUAAAUUAAUAUCCCUAUUUAUCAAUUUUUUAAUAAUCAUUUUACUUUAAAAUAUUGUAAUUUUAGUAAAAUUUUAAUUUUUUAGAAUAUAUAAAUUACAAAAUUACCCCUGUGAGAAAAUCACAUAUAUAUAUUUAAAAAUUAAUUAUUUUAUUAUUUAUAUUUUAUUAAUUUUAUUUUAUGUAUUUUAAAAUAUAUUUUUUAAAAUAAAUCAGUAAUUUUUUUUUUCUUCUUAUCCUAUCUUGCUGGUAACCCAACUCAAAUUCAGGAUAAGAAUUAUAACUAGAGAGACAGGAUAGGAUAAGCUUCAGGAUUAACUUAUCAUAUCCUGCUGUAUCACCAAACACUGGAUUGCAGCAGGAUAUGAUACAGUUAUCCUAUCCUGUCUCUUAUCCUGUGCACCAAACGGGCCCUAAAAGAAUUGAGAGUAGUUUAUUUAACAACCAAUGUAAGUGAAGUAAAAAAUCGUUUGUGGUUAUUACUUUAAAAUUAUUUUUGUGACAAAUGUUUAUUGAUUUUAUUUUUUUUUAUAAAUAAAUUAAUCGCAAUUCUUCAAAGAUAGUCUAAUAUCUUACGACCAUAAGAUUGUAGACAAACUGUUCUAUUUGGACCUUGGCUAGAGAGUAGUAGGACCUAAACUAUUUUUAAAUGAGUGUUGAAAUAUUUUUGCAAAUGAAUCGCCAAAGCAUGCAAGUUUGAAGCUUCCAUCAGUUCCAUGUUCAAGCAUUUAUAUCUUAGAAUCCGAAACAUGAGGAUCCCCAUAAUUGAUCGGAUCUUGAGUUGGAUCAUGUGUGACUUAAAAUCGUAUUAACAAAUAACAACUAUAUCUCCUCGCUGGCUUAAUUAUAUAUAAUAACUACAACUAUAUUUACAUAUAAACACCAAAUCUAUAUUAUCAUCUCGUUUCAUAAAUAAAGUGAUAAUCCUUUUUAUUUAGCGUGGUCUUGUUCUUCUAAUGGGUUAGGAAUUAGGAUCCUCUCUAGACAUGAGGGGUUGUUGAUUGAACCUCGUUGUAAAGGAAAGGUGAUACUUGCACACUCCAACAAUAAGUUGGAAUUGAAUGUAAGAGGUGUUUAUUGUUUAGGAUAACCUAGACCUUCUCUCAUGGACACCUGUCCUGGGAACGUGGGUUAGCUUAUGGUUAAGACGGUAUGAUCUGGCGCGAUCCACAUAUCCCUGCUACUGCUGAUUGCAGGCUUUUUAGGGUGUGUCCAUUGUAUGUCUUAGAAUUGACGUCAUCUCGCACUUGAUAGUAUCCGGUACAACGAAUCGUGGAGAGACUCCGAUAUUAUCUUAGAAUUGAGUAUUGGGUUUAACUCAACCAGUAGCGGAACCAGAAAAAAUAUUGUGGGUGGACCGAAAAAUAGUCAAUCUAUUUUCAAAUUGAAUUUUUUUGUCCCUCUAUUUUCAUAUGUUACAAUUUUGGUACCAAAAGUCUAUAUUUUUACUGUAAAAAUUGUGAUUUUUUGCCAUAACGGUAAUUUAUUGUCUCAAACAUUAAAUUUAAAGAUGAAAUAUCAAAUUUAAGACCAAAAUUCACAUUUUUUUGCAUUAAAAUUUGCUAUUUUUACGGAAAAAAAGAAAAUAAAAAUGAGAUAAGACUAAAGUUUGGACAAAUGUGAAAAUAUGGGACUUAAAAAAUUAAAUAUUAAUUAACCAUUUUUUUAUGUCAUUUGAUAUUUAUAUAUGCUAGUUCAAUUGCUAAUUUUAUCUAAUAUUAUAAAUUCAAUUAAUUAUGAACUAAUAUUUACACUAAUACUUUAACUAAUAUGUAUACCGAGUUAUUAUAAUCAUCAAUAAUAAACUCCAAAUUAAUAUUUACAUUAAUAUUUUUAAAAUAUAUAUAUAUAUAUAUAUAUAUAUAUANNNNNNNNNNNNNNNNNNNNNNNNNNNNNNNNNNNNNNNNNNNNNNNNNNNNNNNNNNNNNNNNNNNNNNNACCUCAACCCACCCCUAGGUCCGCUGAUGAACUCAACCCUACAAAACUAGAUUGUAAAGUGAUGAUUGUCUUUUCCUUAUAAACACGUAUUCAAACCAUUUUGUAACUGAUGUGGACUUCUUAACAAUAUGAUUGCGGGCUUUUUGAAAUUAUUCAUCAGUAAAAUUGGUUACCCAAAAGAAAUUAAUCGGGAGAAAAUCAAUACACCAAUGAAUAGUCAAUGACAGAGCAAAGAAUGAAGGGGAGAGGUGACAAGAACUGUUUACGAAGCACCAUUGCUUUCAGUUUCGAUUACUUUGUUUUCAGGACCCAGUUUCCACCAAAUAUGGCAUGGUUUUCUAUCAAGAAAAUUAAACAAGAAGACACUUAAAUAAAUGAGACAUCAUGGGGUGUCUUUGCUUGGUACGAUAUAGUCAAGCAUACGUCAAUUUCUAAACGCAACAUUAAAAAAUUGUUUUAUUAACAUUAAUAUACUAAACAAACAAAUUAACAACCUAAGUUAUUUUCGAAAAUGACAUUAAAAAAUGGAUACACUACAAGAAAAUACGGGAUUAGCUACGAGGGAGUUUGUAGCUAAUUCGUAGCUAAUCUCUAGUAAAACAGAAUUAGCUACCGAUUUGUUGUGAAUUAGCUGUCAUAUAGGGCGUAGCAUGAGUUAGCUAAACGUUUAAGAACUUGUUUUUGAAAUUUCAGAUUCUAAAUUUCAAACAUGAGAGUUUCGAAUUAUAGAAUCUUAACCAAUGUCUUAUAAAAGCAAAAUUACAUCAAAAAGCAAAACUACAAUUAAAUAUGUUUAUUACGACAGGAAAUAAAAUUAUAUCAAACAUUAGAAAACAUUACAUCAAACAUUAGACAAAAAUUACAUUAAAAAUUACAUCAGUUGGGACCAUCUCAGAUUUUGCUAUUAACAUUUCCUUUAGGAAAAAUGAUGUGGCUACCUAGAUUUGUACAUUUAACGAGUAGAUGAGAAUAGAUGAAACUAUUUUGUUCACACUAUCAAAUGUAACAGAAUAACCACUCGGCACAAGGAAACUACGUUAUUGAUGUAGUUCUAAAGGGGACUUUGGAUCUUUUGUUUAACCAAUCAUUACAUUUUCGAUCAUCUUGGCUCAACAAUACCUCGCUGACUAACAAUAUAAGAUUAUCACAUCUCAUCAUCAAAGGAUAACUAUGAGAAUCUUAUAUUGAUCAACGAAGGCUAUGCAAUUAUUUACCCACAAACUUUUAAAACCGGCAUGUGAGAGAAGAGAGGAAAUAGUUGAGAGAAGACAUGAGAGGAGAAAGAAUGAUGAAAAGUAAGAAUUCAUGGCAAUAUUUUUAGAAGAGAGCAAAACAAUUGAACAACAACCAAUCUAAGAAUUCUCCCUAUUCGAAUUUUAAAAUUGGAGCACUUAAAACACGUUUAGCUCUAGAAUUCAAACGGUGUACUUAUAAAAAGGGUUGUGCUAACUAGUGUUUCGGAUAUAUUAGUUAAUUAAGAAGUCAAAAAAAGUAUAUUUUACAUUAAAGCAUUAUUUAUACUUUUAAAAAUGUAGAAUACACAAGUUCCAAUACAUAUUUAUCAUAUUUAAUUCCUUAACUAGUGCCCCUAGCUCAGGGCACUAGCUAGCAAUUUCUUUUUCUCUUUUUUUCACCAUCAGGACCCGCCCCAUUGGACCACCUAAUCUGGCUCGGAGGUUAGUUUUGGCAUCAAGUGGUUCUAGCCCCCUCCUGAUCGCAAUUAUGAGAAUCGAAUCAUCGUUCUCCCUAUCAACUUCAUCACCAAUCACCCUUAUACGAAAAAUUCUCUAAAAGAACACUUAAUUGUUUCAUUUAUUUCUUGUAGGCUUAUCUAAACAGCAAGUGGGGUACACACUAUUCACUAACAAUGCUUUUCCUCCAUUUCAAUGCAGUAAAGAUCAUGUUAGGUAUUGGGCUAGCUCAAAAUAAACAUAACGCAACAUCUGAGAAAUUUUCUCAUCCCACCCACACACUUUCUCCCCUACCCCCUAGCAAUUCGGAAAACGUUUUCCGAAUUUUUUAUAGUGUAAAUUUUACACUAGAAAAACAGUUUGGAACAUAUUUUUCGAAUUUUUUUGCGCGCUAGGGGAGUAGGCGAGAAAGUGAGUGGGUGAGAUGAGAAAAUUUCAACAUCUGAUAUCUAUCAUGUGAUUGUAAGCCCCAUUAAAGGGGGGGGAAAAAAAAAAGGAAGCUCCUAGUCCUAAUUUUUUUUCCUUCUUUUCCCUUUCUAUUACAAAUAUAGGAAUACUUCUUUUAGAUUUAUGCAUUUAUUUUUUUAAAAAAAUUAUACGUUUUUGUAUUGUUUAAUGCAAAAANNNNNNNNNNNNNNNNNNNNNNNNNNNNNNNNNNNNNNNNNNNUUAAUUUCAUUAGGGGUCCCUUUACGAAACAUGUCAACAUUCUAAUUAUCAUUCAAUUCAUAUUCAUCGAUAUCAUAAUAAUUCAAAAGAAAAAUAGAAUUUAAUAGAAAGUAAAAUAAUAUAAUAAAUAUAGUAUAUAAAAGUAGAAUGAAUAGAUCGAAAUAAGUCAUCGAUAUAUUGAUAUAUCGAUGAAUUAUUUUCGACUCAUUUCAUAAAUCAAUAUUAUUAUGACUCUUAAUAACACUAAUAAAAAUAUUCUAACUACUAAUAAAACACAAAGCCGAUAUAAUAGUUCUGGAUUUUCAUAGGCAAGUACUACUAGCUUGUAGGAAAGGGCUCUUAGCUUUUGCCUCCAAAUCCUUAUAAAUUGUUUUAAAUCACUAACAAAUGUGUAUGUGAUAAUGUCGAAAAGUAUUCUCUGAAUAGAAAUUUUCCAGAGCAAUUCGGAUACGAACGGUUCAUAUAUAUAUAUAUAUAUAUAUAUAUAGUCUUAUAACACAUGUUAGCAUAUUUUAUAGACCAACUAUAUUAAUUAUUCAGAAAAUCUAAAAAGAUUAAAUGUCUCUCAUAAAAAGACCCGAUGAAGUAUUAUCUUAAUGUUUCUUUCUAUCAAUAAAAUCUUAAUAUUUUCAUUGAUUAGUAACCAGAGUUUUUGUUCGAAUUUGAAGGACACAUAGAUUGGGACAAAACACUUCAUACAUAGAUUAAGCAUCCACACCAACAUUAGACAAAACUCUGAAUAUUUUAACAAUUUCCCUGCAAACUAAUCCUCCAUCAGAAGUAAACAUUGACAUAGAAAAAUAACAAAUUACUCAAAACUGAUACAUGGAGGUCAUUUGAAGGAACAACUAUAGGAUCAGGAUAGAGACCAUAUAGUGCAGGAAUUUGAAGGAAGUGGAGUUAUGUAGCAUGCAUGAUUCAGUCAUUCAGAUCAGAGAAUGAAUUACACUGUUACUUUUUGAAGCAUCACAUCACAAUGUGUCUUGCAUUGGUUUCGUUGCUCAUGGUGAUCCUACUUGUUCCAAAAGGAGAGUGUUUCUUAAAAGGCUCAAAAAGUUGAAGGAAGGCAGUGAAAAGGUUAGAGUGAGACAGAGGCUAAAUGAAGUCCUUUGGUAUGCAUCUGUAACUCCAAGGUUUUGAUCUAGUGGUUGAGCCAAAAAGAGACUAUGUUGAUAUAUAUAAGCUGUGAUACUGCAUUGUGGCAAAAGAAACAAAUACAAAAAGGUUAACUGCAUUUUGGAUUGAUAGCGAUUUUAAAUCACGGCAUUUUGACAGAAGCUUCACAAAAUCACGGUGCCACCAUGACUUCGCCAAAUUUACCGUCAAUCCAAACAUGCACUAAAUAAUCACGGGGUAUUUCUUCCAAGAUCAUGGAACUCUCUUUUUGGUCAUCAACGCCGCCAUAUGCUCCUUCAUUAUCCUCUCACCUCCAUUCGCGUGUAAAUCAACUUCUCUCUACUCUCCUUCAGUCCUUCUCCUUCUCCUGCUUCUAAGACAUUUGAAUUGGCUAACACCACAGGGAGACACAAACUUCAAAAGAAAAGUUCAUGUAAGUUGCCAUCCGACUGCAGCGGCUCUAUGAAACUGAUUCUUAGAGUUCAAUUCCUGCUUUCAACCCAUAAUCAAUAUGAUAUCAAUGUUUCUCUCAAAUCCUGGAACAUCUUUGUAGUGCCUCAUUUAAUAGGAAGCCUACAAGUGGCUCUAUUUCAUUAAAUUUCAUAUGUAAGUAAAAUAAAUAACACCUGAUCUUUAAACUAAUCAAACAGUGCAGUGCAGAUAAAUUUGAGAAGUGCACAUCUACCAUCUACAAACCAUUGGUUGCUAAAACUAUGAAACACAUUCAAACCAAUCUUCGCAUCCCUUGAAGUCUCCACAUGAAUCCUAGUACAUAUACAUAUAUAUUCAUGAAAAUACAUCAAAGGCUAAAGAACCUUCAAAAUAUGUCAAAGCAGCUAAUCCAUCUGUCGGAAAAAAAAACAAAAAAUUACAUAACGCAGGAAGACUACGCACUACUAUUUUGUAAACCACGCCAACAAUCAUCAACUCUUAUAGCAUAUCCCAAAACUCAAGAAACAGGAACUGCAAUGUAAAUUACUAAAACUAUGGUGUAAAGUCACACUCUAACCUUGGAGUUACAACGAUAUGUAAAGUCACAAUAAAUUCCCAGAAAAACAAAUACAGCUAUUGUGUUUUGCAUUGUUCUUCAGAUCCCAAUAUCUUUAACAUGGUACCAUGAUUGAUAACCAAAGUUUGGGAAUUCACAUAAAAUUUAUUAUCCUGUUGGGAAAGCAAAUCCUACUAGGAAUUCAAAGAGAAUAUAGUCAGAUACAAUAAGAAAGAUCAGUGAAGAUAGAACUGUAAAGAUCUAUAACCUGUAGAACAUUUAAAUUUCAUUGUGCACCAGGUGCCUAUGUCAAAUGCAUGAUAUAAUCUACUGUAAAUUGCAUUGGUGUAGCUUGAUUACAUUGAUCCGAAUAAUAUAUAUAUAUAUAUAUAUAUAUAUAUAUAUAUAUAUAUAUAUAUAUAUCUUAGUAUUUUAAGCUAAGAAGCCAACUACACCAAAGCUUCAAGCAAAUAAGGUUAAGCAACCUUUGAUAAAAUAAACCAAUAAAAAAAACUGAUUAUACACAUAUAUGAAGUGAUACCUGAGUGAGAAGCGAGAAGUAUGGGAUCACCUUGAAAACCAAAAUGCUAAAAGUAGUCAAAUUUUGUAUUUCAUUCAUGUCUAAAAGUAGUAAAAUUUUGUAUUUCAUUCAUAAAUCCAUAUUAAAUAAGCAAGUCAGAGAACCAAAUCAAAAAGGAAAAAACAGUGCAGCCAAAAAACAACAGAAGACGCAAAUCAGGAAAGACGCAUCACACAGCAGCUCCAGCUCCAGCUCACAUCACACACCCGCGGCCACGCUGAUUAAUCCUUCCUCCUUGCAGCGUUCCCUGUCGAAAGGGGGUGGAAUACAGGUUAAAAGGAAAUAAAACAGAGAAUGAAGCCUCUCACUAGUGCCUCCACAAGCACCACCGUGCACAAACACCAACGUGAGCCCUGAGCAGCCCCUGCGACACAAGCUGUUGUGUGCGCAAAACUCUUCUAUUUGGCAGGAAACGAACCACUGUUUAAGUGGAAAAUGCAGAGAAGGAUCUUAUGUUUCAAGGUGUUGAUCUUCAUGGGUUCAAAUUCAAAUCGGGCGAGGGUUGUCUUCUCUAGAUCACCUUCAUAUGAGUAGUAGACAAUCAUGCGCACACGAGGAAGCAGAUGAACUAUGGACAUGAGCAGUUGACAGAGGAAGGCGUGGGGUGAGUGGAAAAAAGGAAGAGAGGAAAGGCAAAGAAGAUGCAUUACAAAAAGAAUGAAAUAUGAGAGAGAGAGAGAGAGAGAGAGAGAGAGAGAGAGAGAGAGAGAGAGAGNNNNNNNNNNNNNNNNNNNNNNNNNNNNNNNNNNNNNNNNNNNNNNNNNNNNNNGAGAAGCCGCUACAAAAUGAGAAGGGUCUCUGAAUUUGAAUUAAAGAGAACAAUAAGUGAGCAAGUGGUGUGCUGAAGAAGCCAUUUGUUCAGAGGUUGACAUGUAUAGAAAAUUCAUCCAACCUGCUCCUACAAUUUGGAACUUCACAUGGUUCUCGACUUUGAAAGAAUGCAUGUCCUUUCCUUUAAUCGACCACAAAUAAUAUCGAAAUACUAAACAUGUUGCAUGCUCCAGGUUUCAUUAUAUGGCAUCAUAACAGUGUCUUAAAAAACUGAAUAUAUAUUACCAGAGAUAAGCUGCAUUAACAAGAUAGAAGCCUACAAUACAAUCCCUGGAGGACAAUUGUUCUUCUUUUAAAGAAGGUAAACAAUGUAAACUAAUAGACAUCCCUGGAAUUAAAAAAACGGAUGGUAAAUCUAACUCAUGUAUUUCCCUGGAUGCCAAUGUCAUUAAGGUGAAAAUUUGAGACCACAAACCAUCCAGUCAAAAUUCUUCCAUGGUUGAAAACUGGUAUAACACAAAUAUCUUUCAAACAUCUGAGCUUAAAAAUGGAACACUUGAGAACAGAGUGACAAGUAAUCCAAUCCGAAUCCGCGCCAAUUAUUUCAUGAUUAGUUCAUGUGUUGUGAAUUGCACUUCUGUUUUUCCUCUUCAAGCUCUCGUUUUAAUGUUUCCACCUUUUCAAGUAAGAUUGCAUUCUCCUGUAAGGUUGAAGGAUAACACUUGUAAUGUUUACAAAAACAACUAUCCAUACCAAAAGAGAGCCAAAAGUCAUUACAACCCAAAUCGAAAGGGUAGAAAACCAGAAUAGUUUAUACAUAAAGUUGUAGUAUUUGACUUAAAUGAAAUCGGCGAAUUUGGUAAUAAAUGUGAUUUUUCAAAUUUGGGAUUGAUUAUAAGUUGGUGCUGCAUUGUGUGUCUGAUAAACUUAGUAGUUCAUAGUGUAGUUAUCCUUCAAUAAGUCUAUCCUUGUUUCACAAAGUUGGAGAAUGAAUAGAAACAAUAUCAUAAGGAGGCAGAAUGAAGUUCGAUUGAUAAGUUUUAAAGACAUACCUUUUGUAAUAUUGCCAAUUUAUGGUUAUUACCAGAAGCAUCAUUGGCUCUCCGAGAGGACUCCUGAAACUACCACAACAAGAUUGAUUAAACAGGAAGGACAAAUGGAACAGCUUGUUCUUUUAUUGGUUGAAUAUGUAAAUGUCUAUUUCUAUAAUUAUAUUUCAUGAUUUCACAAAGUACCAAUUUAUAUCUUGGGCAGAUAUAUAACACCCCUUUCCAACAGAUCGAAUUUAAGGUGGCUAGGUGUGAAAGUACAACAAACCACAAUAGUAUAACCUUUCUGAUCAUUCAAUUUGGAAGGUAGGAAGUGAAAAUCCUAAGAAGAGAAUACAUACCACUUGAAGUUCCUUGAUGCACUUAUUCACCCUAUCUACCUCUGUAUCGUACUUUAGCCUCCACUCAGCAGAUUCAUCCAUGGCCUCCCUAUUAGCAAUAUCAAAUUGUCGCCUAGAUACAGUUGAGUGGACCAAACAUCAUUACAAUUUAUAGUUAAAGAUGCAAAACAAUAAUGCUAUAAACUACAAAGCACAGACACAGGACACACACAUGGGACAGAACACUGAUGCUUACCCGCUCAAUUUUUUUUUUGAACGCCAAAUAUAUUAUUAAUAAUAACUAAGUCUCUGCACAAGACAAACAGAGUCCGGUAAAAGAGAAACUACAAAAACAAAGGCGUCGUAUAUAAGUGGGACACUAAUGAAAAUACCAAAACAAACACUACCUAAUAGAGGUAUACUUCUAAUCACAUUCUUAGAAAGACACUCCUCAGCGUCCAGACCACCCGAGAAGACAUCAACCCGACCCAUAAAGAUGCCACUAGACACUAAUUCCCGAUCUCGAAUCAAAAGAUGCAAAAGAAACAAAAAUUUAAGAAAAUUAAGUGAUUGAGUGUAACUAUAUGUAUCGGUGGCCUAUCAGUAUUGGAUAACCGCGCAAGUCGUUAGUGUUGUCAAAUUGAGGCUAUAGUGGCACUAUAACACCAUAGUGUACCAGAAUUUAAACAAAUUGCUAUUGUUCCACAAUACGCUAUUUAAUACAAAGUAUUGUUUUUGUAAAAAAAAAAAAUACAAAGUAUUGUUUAAUAGCAACUAUAGCAUAACAAACCACUAUUUAUUGUGAUCCACGAUUGACAACAUUGUAUGUCGAACACUGCGCACACCUUCAAUCAGAAGUAUCAGUGUUACAUAAGCUAUAAGGCUAUCAUUAUAAGUUGAAAUAAAAAUUGCAGCACUGCAUCCCAUCAAUCACAAAACUAUACUUUCUCUUAGCCGUAUAAAGAUAUGGAACUCAAAGAUCUUAAUUCUAACCAGUGAAGGAACAAAUUAAACUCAUAAUGAACAAAAUAAGAGAUUAUUUUUCCUUUAUUAUUUUGAAAAUUAAGAAGUAUUCAAAUAAAUAAAUAAAAUUGCAUUUUGCCCCAAAUGAGAUGAAAGAUUAGAUUGUGAAAAAGAUGAACCUUAUGAGCUCAGUAUCAUCAAUAGAAAUGUUGUAAUCCAUAGCCCAAAGCCUGAAAUAUACAGCAAUACCCAUAAACAUUAGAAAAGCCAAACCCACUAAAAUUGAUCUUCUUUUUACUCCAACCAUUCCCUUUGAUUCUUCUUCUUCGCUUCUUCUGUUUACUCCCCCCGAAAGUCAGUUACAUUCAACCAUGCUUCUCGAUGUAUUUCGUUGAUCUAACCUCUUUUUUCUUUGAUAAUUAAUUACUACUUAAUUAAUACGGAGAAGUACUUGCAUUUUUGACUUAUUGUGUGUUUGGUUGGUUAAACCAUUCAUCCUACGGUGAGCUACGUAGCUCCCGGACAUGUCACUAUAUGUGCAGGAGUUCGAAAUCGAAACCGGAACACUUCACUUAUCCACCUUUAAGGUUUAAGGUGGAUUUAUCUACUAGGCUACUUGAAAAAAAAAAAAAUUCAUUCAUNNNNNNNNNNNNNNNNNNNNNNNNNNNNNNNNNNNNNNNNNNNNNNNNNNUUCAUUCAUUUACCACAUUACGAUGAAGAUGACUUUCAUUUUAUUGUUUGGGCCUUGUUUAUUUUUUUUUUUUAAUACCCAAUUUGUCAAUAUUAUAUCUUAUAUUCUAAAUUUAUUCUCAUAAACUAACCCUAAAUUUAAUCACUUUUCCUUUCUUUUUAUUACAAUUUUAUAUUAAAAAAAAAUCAUUUGUCUACAAUGGAAAUCGAACCCGCAUCUUUGCUUGCAAUAAAGUUUUUCAAUCACUAGAGCAUGUGCUUCAAUUGUGAUUAAAGCAAUGUUUUAAGAACCGGACCGGAAGUCGAACCGGUAUAGUCUCCGGUUCAUGGUUCAAUCGGUUCAACUGGUUCAAUCGUUAUUGAACCGUUUGAACCGGAUAAUAAAUAAUAAAUAAAUAGUAAAUAUUUUAAUAGAUAUAGUCUUAAGAAUUUCUUUUAAUGUGUCAAAAAAUAAAGCCCUUUCAAAAGUCAAUUGUUACAAGGCCCAUGAUUAAAAAAAAAGCCCAAUAUUGUAGAUAACCCUAAUUUGUGAGUAACAAGAAACAAUAUACACUAUCACUUGCUUUAACAACAACUACAGCGCCUCCACCUCUUUCUUUUCUCCUGUUUCUUCACUUAUUCUUCUUUAUCAAUGAGAAAGGGUUNNNNNNNNNNNNNNNNNNNNNNNNNNNNNNNNNNNNNNNNNNNNNNNNNNNNNNNNNNNNNNNAAAAAAAAAAAAACAUAAAGGAUCAAAGUGUUACAAAAAAAUAAGAUAAAUGACAUGUAGUGUAAUUUUGUCAUCUAACAUGUUUUUUUUUUACAGGGUCAUCCUAAUAUGUUAAUCUAAUAUUAAAUGCAUUUAUAAUUUUCUCUUAUAUAUUCUAAGCUUAUUCUGAUACGCUAACCCUAAAGCUAAUAUUUUUUCCGCUCAUUUUCCCUCUCUUUUUAUUGCAGUUUUAAAUUUUUUAAAAAAAAAUAAAGUUGUCUACAGUGGGAAUCAAACCAGCAUCAUUUGCUUACAAUAAUAUUACAAUUUUUUUGUUACAUAUUAGGCUAAUUAGACCCGUGCACCGCACAGGUCGAAGUUCUAGUAUGUUAGUAACUUUUUUCUCCUUUGUCAGGACUUGAACACUGGACAUCCUACUCCUUCUCCUGUCUGGGUAUUUUGGAGUGAUGAAAUACCUUGAAAACAAAAAAUUUCUUCUCACGCCCCCAACUUUCUCGUGCACCCCCUGCACUUCCUAUUUUACUCCUUACUACUUAAUCGGAGAGUGUGUAAAAACACAAAUUUUGCUAAAAAGAGAAACAUUUGUAACAUAACCUGCAAACUACACCCGAAUCAUAAUGCAGUCAUAAUUAUCACUUCUGUAGGGAUAACUAGUAUAAAAAAAUUUAAAAAAAAAAUAGAUAAUAUUAAAAUAUCAUUUCAUAUAUAUUAAUCUGAGUAGUCAUUUAUAUUUUGGACUCUAAUCAUUUUACUUUAAAAAAAUCAAAAAGUGGUUAAAGUGUGGCGGAAUCUCAAGGUCUAUAACAUUCUUCUCAUGUUGAAGUGUGGCAUAAUCUCUAAUUACCAUAACACUGUGAGUACAUUUGGGUCUCUAAUUAGCCAUCCGAUAAACAUAUCUAGUGACCCAAUUUGAUGCACUUUAACCAUUAAUUGAUCCGCGUGAGAUUAUUCGAAGGCAGAGAGAUAGGGAAAGAAUAGUCACAAAUUAUUCAGUAACAUAAACAGAAAGACCAAAAAUCACUCGUGCAGUAUUAGGAAAGAAAGAGACGAUCAAGUGGGCUGGUUUGAGGGAGCUAUUGUAAACCUUUGGAUUAAUAGAAAUGGAAGGAUAUUGACACCUGGUACGGAUUCUGACUCAAAUAUAUAUAACACCCUAUAUAUUCAUAUCUAAUUUUACCGGUCAAAGGUGAAAAUUGCAUCCUUUAUGAGUAUGGAAAUAAAAUAAAGUACUCCUUUCUACCAAAAAAAAUUAAGUACUCCUAAGAAGGUUGAAUUAAGUGAAUUAAGCCUUACGAAUGCAUGAAUGUUAGUAUGAAUACAUAAAUGUUAUUCAAAGUUAAUUAUAUUAUAACUAGGGCGACAUAUUUGAGUCUAGUCAUUGUUUGUUUGAUAUAAUUCCUCCUUGUAUUAAGAACAUUUUGAUUAAUGAAAUGAAUUUAGUAUUGUCAAAAAAAAAAAUCAACACACCGAUAUUUUUAAUUAAUUUUGGGUAAAUAGGGUUAUACCCCAACAAAAUAUGCGAGUUUUGUGUUACCCCAUGCAUGAACAAGUGGACAUAUGACAUGGAUGAAUCAUGACGUGGCAAUACACGUAGAAAUUAAUUUAAUUUUUAUUUAUUUUUAAUUUUCAACUCAGUAAUUAUAUAUUUUUUAAUUAAAAAAACUAUAAAAAAUGUGAACAAUGAACAUUGCCAUAAUAAUAAACAGGCUCAAGAGUUGGGCUUCGACCCACGUGGAUCUCCCAAGCCCAUGAUUCUCUCUCUAACCCAAGAAAGCACCAAAACCCUAGUUUAUAUUUGUUCCUUGAUCCCAUUUCCUCCACCGCAAAACUCUAGUUUCAUUCAUUCAUUCAGAGCAAAAAUCAGGUUCUCUUCCAUCAUCAUCCAGCAAUGCCUCCCAAGCUCGAUCCAUCACAGGUCGUUGAAGUCUUCGUCCGAGUAACCGGUGGAGAAGUCGGCGCUGCCAGUUCCCUCGCUCCAAAGAUCGGACCUCUCGGUCUCUCCCCAAAGAAGAUCGGAGAAGACAUUGCGAAAGAAACCGCCAAGGACUGGAAGGGUCUUCGAGUGACUGUGAAACUCACAGUUCAGAAUCGACAAGCAAAAGUGUCAGUGGUUCCUUCUGCGGCGGCGCUUGUUAUCAAGGCAUUGAAGGAGCCGGAGAGAGAUCGGAAGAAGGUGAAAAAUAUCAAACACAAUGGAAAUAUCUCUCUUGAUGAUGUUAUUGAGAUUGCGAAAGUGAUGAAGCCUAGAUCAAUGGCGAAGGAACUUGGUGGUACUGUCAAGGAGAUUCUUGGAACUUGUGUUUCUGUUGGUUGUACUGUUGAUGGAAAAGAUCCAAAGGAUUUGCAACAAGAGAUUGAUGAUGGUGAUGUUGAGAUUCCUUUGGAAUAGUGUUAAUUUCAUUUUUGUUUUAGUUAUUUUGUUUUUGGCUUAUGUUGUAUCUGUUUUAUUAUUUUUAUGCAAUGGAGUUUUCAAUUAUAAUCGAAUUUGCAGCAUGUUAUUGAGACUGGAAAUUUUACUAAUUUAUCCAUCCGGUUUGUAGUUUAUGAAAUUAUUAUGAAAUCGAAACUUCAUUUUCUUUGCAAAUUUUUGUGUAUUAAAAAUCUUUGAAUUUGCUUUUGAAAAUUUGACUACACAUUAUGUUUCUUUGAAUAUGUAUGUCUAUUCUUACGUAAUUAAAACGAAAUUUGAUUAUCUCCAAUUCGGCAUGAUCUUUUUCUGAAAUAGUUUGUUUAUGACAACAACAUUCUAUACACAAUUUUAGUAAAAUUGUGCAUACAUAGAAUGAAAUUUCUGAAAUAUGUGGUAGCCACCGUUUAUCACCCCACAUAUGUCGAUGACAUUCCAAAGAAUCAAUCUCAGCUAUUCCAUGAAAUUCCCGUCGUACAAGUCUUCAUCAUUCCACCAUAUCAGCUAUUUGAGGUAUUUUCUCUUGAUUAUUAUUCUGAUGUUUGUUUGAAUUUCUAUGUAUGUAAUGUAUAUUAAGGUAUGUUUGACCCAACUUGCUUAUAAAAUAAACAACAUGAUUAUUUUAAUUAAAGUAAUAAUAAUCUUGUUAAGUAGCUUUAGCUCUAAAAAUGUUAAAAUUAUCAAAUAAUUUAACUACAUUUAACUUCAAUUUUAAUAGGAAAAGAAUGCAACGCCCCCUGUGGGGAUCAACUCACAACCCCGUGGUUUAAAGCCACACGCUAUACCACUGAGAAAAGUCGGCUUGCUUUUAAAAAUUGGAAAAUAGAAGUUGAGACCGAAAGUGCAUGACAAAACACACGAAAUAUGGAGUUUGAAUCAUGUUUUCCAUUUUUGACAAAUUUUCGUGACUUGACUAUUUUCAUGACAAAACACACGAAAACAGUUAUAAAACCAAUAAACAAAGAAGGUACAUAAGAAAACACAAUACGAUAUUUUUAUACUGGUAACUUAAUCCAAUCCACCUUAUACAAAGUGACUUUGCCUUGCCUUCUAUCCUUAGAAGGACUUCAAUAAUCCGUUACAAUUUCUACGAUAAGACCAUAUCAUAUAUUUCUCGCUUCAAACAAGAUUUGCUGCAUCACAAUAGAUGACUAACUUGUUUCGAGAAGAGUUGUUGUCACUAAUGGGCAGGUUACACAAAGUCAGUUAGUAUCAAUGUGAUACAAAGUCGUAUGCUAGGAAGAAUAUACAAUGAAAUCUUAUUAUCAAUCUAACUUGUAUUGAAGAAAACUUGGUUGUUUUACAUCAUGAUCUAAACAACUCUCAACGGAGAGAAUAAUAACAUAGCCUUUUUUUAUUAUACUAGAGAAUGAAUGCUUAAAAUUAACAUUGAUGUAUUUAUGAUUGUUUUUCUCUAGUCAAAAUUAAGGGUGAGCAAAAAUAUGGCAACCAACCGAACCCAUUAUAACGUAGAUUAAGUUGGGGGUAUGGCGGGUUUGUAUGGGUUGUCGGGUGACAAAUAAUUAGGAAAAAACUGUUAACAUGGCCGGNNNNNNNNNNNNNNNNNNNNNNNNNNNNNNNNNNNNNNNNNNNNNNNNNNNNNNNNNNNNNNNNNNNNNNNNNNNNNNAUCAGUUUUGAAAAUUUAAAUACGUUGUUAACCGAACUCGAUCAAGGUUGUAAAAUGACGAGUCUUUUUUGUCUAAUCAUAAGUAUUGAAGCAUCGUUUCUUUUUUUAAAAAAGAAAUACAAAGUUAUUUAUCCACAAGACUCAAGAUAGAAUGUAUUAUUGCAAAGUUAAAUUAUGUUUUGUCAUUACAUUGAUUUAAUCUCUCGAUGGUGCUCAAUAAUAAGUGUUGGAACAAGUUAACAACUUGUAGAAGAACUUGGUAUGAAAUAAACAUAAGGUAGAACUAGAGUGUGAGUGAAUUUGAAAAAAGAUCACAUUGAGUCUCACAUUGGUUAGGACACUCACUUUAGUAGUGUUUAUAGGCACAAGUUAAUAUGCAUAAGGUCAAUCUUAUGUACGGUGCAUAAGUUAAUCACAACCAUCCGAUCAUAGACAUUUUGAUGACACAUGUUAUCAUCUCAAAAUCCCAAACUAAGUAAGUUUCGAAUUAAAAGUCAAAUUAAGUAAGUUUCGAAUUGAUUCAUGUUCCAAAUCAUGUCCUCAAGCUUUUCCAACCGUUUAUUUUGCUUAUUUCGCUCAAAUAAGUGUUUUCAAUUUUUUUAGGUUUUAAAGAUUGAAUCGUUUUUUAAAAUCUAUACCUCCACUGUGAAAUCUAAGCAUGGAUUCAUGAUCAGCGUUAAAUUUCAAGUAAAAUGGUAUACCCAAUUGUAAUUUUUGGUUGAGAUUUAGUGUUGUUGUGGUCGUGAAGGUUUUUUGAAGCUUUCAUGGCUUCCCUUCAUGUUCUUCACGAGGAAGAAGAAGGUGGAGGUUGAAGACGAUGACGUGGCGACGCGUCAUUGGCUCCCUCCAAUUUUAAGUCAUGACCGUUAGAUUAUUAUAAAACGAUCCAAAGGCUCAGNNNNNNNNNNNNNNNNNNNNNNNNNNNNNNNNNNNNNNNNNNNCUUGGGCCUGGACUUCUGUAUUUGUUUUCUGCACCCCCUGACUUACGUUCUGCACCCCCUCUACUUGCUUAAUUUUAUGUUUUUAUUUUUAGCUUAAUCAAAUAAGUGCUUACUUGAACAAGUGCUUUUAUAAGCACUUGAGUCCAGGGAAACAUGGCAAGAAGCAUCUCUUGUUGUUGAAAUUUAAGGAUUCAAAAAAUCUAUUUUAUCCUCAUAGUCAAUAUUAAUGAAUUAACAUAUUGAAACCAUUUAACAAGACUAAUGGUUUCAGUGUAUAACUUAUUGAAAUCAUUUAACAAGUCUAAUGGUUUCAGUGUAUAACAUUAGUCAAUAUUAAUGGGUUAACAAAACUGAAACCGUUUAACAAUAUUAAUGAGUUAACAAAACAGAAACCAUUUAAAAGACUAAUGGUUUCAGUGUAUAACUUAUUGAAACCAUUUAACAAGAUUAAUGGUUUCAGUGUAUAACAUUAGUCAAUAUUAAUGGGUUAACAAAACUGGAACUAUUUAACAAGACUAAUGGUGUCAGUGUAUAACUUAUUGAAACCAUUUAACAAGACUAAUAGUUUCAGUGUAUAACAUUAGUCAAUAUUAAUGGGUUAACAAAACUGAAACCGUUUAACAAUAUUAAUGGGUUAACAAAACGAAAACCAUUUAAAAGUCUAAUGGUUUCGGUGUAUAACAUAUUGAAACCAUUUAACAAGACUAUUUUUUUCCACCAUUUUUGUGAAAAAUUGAAAGUCAUUCAAACACCAUAAACCUUUAAUUUCUUUCAUCCAAAAGCUUCCAAACACUUCCAGAAAAUCGAAAUAUACCAAGAAACACGAAGAAAAACCAAUAGAAAAGCAUACCCAAAGUUCAAAAAUAGUUAAGAGAAAACUUAUUUGGUUAGCUCGAUUUAAAGGCACACUAAGUAAGUUUCGAAUUGAUUCAUGUUCCAAAUCAUGUCCUGAAGCUUUUCCAACCGUUUAUUUUGCUUAUUUUGGUUAUAUGCUGAAACCAUUAGUCUUGUUAAUUGGUUUCAUACUGUUAUACACUGAAACCAUUAGUCUAGUUAAAUGGUUUCAUAGCGUUAUACAAUGAAACCAUUAGUCUUGUUAUUUGGUUUCAAGAUAUUAUACACUGAAACCAUUAGUCUAGUUAAAUGGUUUCACAGCGUUAUACACUGAAACCAUUAUUUUAGUAAAAUGGUUUCAUAUGGGCAUUAGUGUCAAGAUGUUAUACACUGAAACCAUUGUUAUUAAGUAAAACAUCACAUAACCAUUUUACAAAAUCAUGCUACAUAAAACAAAAAAUCAUAUAAAGCAAUUAGGGUUAGUUUAGUUGAGAACAAUUUGGAUAGUAUGCAUGAGAUAUUGAAUUCGAUCAUUUUUUUAUUGUAAAGAAAAAAAUCCAAAUAUAUAUAUAUAUAUAUAUAUAUAUAUAUAUAUAUAUAUAUNNNNNNNNNNNNNNNNGAUAAAACUUAAAAUUAAAUUGUAUGUUUGACAAGUAUGCUUUAUAUAUACAUGAACCAUUGGUUAUUAUUUUGGGCUUCGAGGGGGUGUAUGACGAAAAUUAAUUAAAAAUGGAUUCUUAUAUUAUAUACUUCAAAGGAACAAAAGUUAUUAUUUAAUUGGAAACGGGGGGUGCGCUAGAAAUUUGAGGGGGUGCACUAGAAGUUUGGAGGAGGGAAAAAAAUUGGGUGCGCGCUAGAAAUCUGGGGGAGGAAAAAAAAUUGGGGGGCUCACAAGAAAUCUAGGGAGAAAAAGAAAAAAAAACUGAGGGGUGCGCUAAGUAAAUGGGGGGCGCGCAAGUAAUGUGGUAGUAUAUGAGGGCGCGCGAGUAAAGAAUUGCCUUUGGGCUUGGGCUAACUUUUGGUGUAGGAAGCAAAUAUGCUGUGUGUAGGAAGCAAGUUUAUGCAUUCUGCAUAAGUUUUGGCUUAUGCACCAUAAUCACACCCGUGUUUAUAUACAAGAAGGUCACUACUUAGGGUACGCCCCAAGGGGUGCCCAAUUUUGUAAACGGGGCACAUCAUGCUAAAUAUCAUGUGCCCGCCGUCCGGCCAGAGUGGGCCGGGCCGGGUUUGGUGAUAUAUUAAUUUUUUAAUACAUAGAAGUGGAAAAAUAAUUAAUAAUUAUUUUACGCUAUAGUGUGCAUCCGUGUUGCAAAUUUUCGUACAUGUUAUGCAGCAACUGAGUGGGCCGAUUUUCUUGGCCACGUUUUGCUUUGUUGGCCACAAAAGGCUCCCUCAAAUUCCUUCUUUCCAAUUCAAUCUUCGCACUAUAAAUACUGCCUUUCAGUUCUCACAAAAACUUACUUCACGCUUCUUGGUUCAAAAAAAAUCUUCUCCUCUCUCAGAAAAAUUUCUUACUUAAAAUUUUCGUUCUUGUUGUUUCAGAAAGUGGUUGUUGCCACUUCGAAUUGAUAUUCGUAUAUCAAUAUAAGACUGGUUCGUUGAACCAUCGAACGUGUUUUUCUUCCCGUUUUCUACAGUGCAAUAGAUAACGGUAUUUAUUGAAUUAACUGUUUUAUCCUGGGGACUUCACGGUUGAUAGUCUACCUUGCACAACUUGGGUAGUGCUGUGAAACGUCUUAAAGAGAGUGUAUCGAACCGCGACUCGAUCGGUAAUUUCUUCAUUGCUAUUUUCUAAAUUGAUUUUUUCAAAACCGAAAAAUAACAAUAAGUUAACUUAAAGUGUAAAUAUUUUAUUAUUCUAUAUGUUUGUCUUUUUUUAUUUUUUUAUUAAUGUGUUAGCCCGAAUAAACCGAACUGACCAACCGGUAAUCCAUAUAAACCGACACUCCACAAACCGAAGCUUGAAAUGGUCGGUUAUAGGCCAGAAUUUUGCACCCUCAGAUUUUCUCGGUGAGCCAUUUUGGAAAAUGCAAUUACAUCGUAAGAUGCAGGUGUGUAUUAAUCAUACCUGAAGAUCACAUUGCAUUAGUGUAUUUUGAUGCAUUCCCUUGCACUAGAUAAGGUGAAACUCACUUGUUGAGCUUUCCACCAUUGCACGCUACUUUGGUGCAUGACACAAUAUACCAUUAUGUGACCUUUAUGAUUUUUCACGGUUUCCUUUCACAUAGUGUACAUAUCUUAUCUUGACUAUGCCAUCGAGUUAUAUGUAUGCAGGCGUGUAUUCAUCACACCAAAGGAUCACAUUCUCUUGGUAGGCGUGUAUCCAUCGAGUCACAUUCUCGUUAUACAUGAACAAAUUUGCCACAUACUUAUAAAAUAAACAACAUAAUUAUUUUUAAGUAACUUUGCUAAUAAGCUUUAGCUUUGAAAAUGUUAAAACUAUCAAAUAAUCUAACUGUAUUUAAUAGGAAAAAAAUGAAACGCCGACUGUGGGGAUCGAACCCACGACCACGUGGUUAAAAGCCACGUGCUCUACCACUGAGCUAAGUCGGCUUGCUUGUUAAUUUUUAACUUAAAAUAUAAAAAAUGUUUAAAAAAUCGAAUAAUAGAAUUUGAGCCAAACCAACAAUUAUGUUGGAUGCUUAUAAAAAAAAUAAAAAAUCUUUUGAAUUUUCGUAAAAACCAAAAAAUUUAAUAAGUCAUGUAUCCGAAAUAAUGAACAAUGCAAAUAUUUGUUGGUGAAGAGAAAAAAGUGGAGUAAAAAUAAUAAAAUAUAUAUAUAUAUAUAUAAUGAAAAGAGGAGUUUGUUGUAAUGACCUUUCUUUUAGAUGGUUGUAGGGCCUCUUGAACGGCAGACCGUGAAUUAUGCAGAAUGUGGUUUAAUUAUUUGCCCCACAACUUAGGAAACACUAAAUUUUCAUGAAAGGUUCCUAAGAAUAUGUCAAGAAUCAUUUUUGAUCUUAUUCACACGUGAAACAUUUGCCUCUAAUUAUACUUCUUCUUCAGAUAUUUUCUCCUUUUAAUUCGUGAUUUGAUCAUCCUAUUCUUAGCUUCUCCUAAUUUAAUUAUACAUAUAUAUAUAUAUAUAUAUAUAUAUAUAUAUAUAUAUAUAUAUAAACAUAAAGGCCUAGCUUAAUUGAAACAUAUCACAAUUCUCCAAAACCAUCCUAAUUCUUUCUCCCUUAGAUUCUCAUUCAAGGACUCUCUUCUUUCUAGACAUAGGGGGAGGAGAGAAUUUUUUUCAAUUACAAAGAUUUGAUAAUUAAUUCUACAAGCUAACAAUGGCCAAGGGAAUCAGAAAUGUAAGUUCUUGGAUGGAAGUUGCUCCUGCACCAAUAAUUUUUCCAACAAAGCCUUCAAAUUCUCCUACUUUGGAGACAAUCAAAGAAGCUGUUGAGGAAUACGAUGAUAUUCAAAUCCGCCAUAAAUAACUAAUCUCAUUAAGUAACAAAUGUUGCAAGAGAUUUUGCUGGGGAUUUAGUGAACCCUGUUUUGAAGCAGGUUUUAUCAUAUGAAGCUAUUAACCGUGGGUACUACAAAAUUCAUGUAGUACCCGUACCCGGUAUCUUACUUGUACUCGGUACAAUACCUGUAUCCGGUAUUCGUUGGGUACUUGUGAGUACUUUUUCUAUUAUUGUAUAUUAAUUUCUUAUCAUAUUGUUCAAACAAACUUUUAUUUCUAUANNNNNNNNNNNNNNNNNNNNNNNNNNAACUAUCAGACUAUUAUUAUAUUGUCAUCUUUCUUUUCUAAUUUUCAUGAUUUCGGUUGGAUAUUUU